GCGACAGCUGGCCGACGGCGCGGCGCAGGUCGCUGCCGGCAACCGCCAGCUCGCGACGGGUGCGACCAGCGCCAGCUCGGGUGCGGCGCAGCUGCA
This 96-nucleotide transfer RNA is filed under the name Arsenicicoccus piscis. RNAcentral describes it as "tRNA-Gly". The record is from RNAcentral. Lineage: Bacteria; Bacillati; Actinomycetota; Actinomycetes; Micrococcales; Intrasporangiaceae.